ACAACCAGGAUGUUGGCUUAGAAGCAGCCACCAUUGAAAGAGUGCGUAAUAGCUCACUGGUCGAGUGACCCCGCGCCGAAAAUGUACCGGGGCUAAACAUAUUACCGAAACUGUGGAUGAACCUCUUAGGAGGUUCGUGGUAGGAGAGCGUUCUAAGGGCGGUGAAGUCAGACCGGAAGGACUGGUGGAGCGCUUAGAAGUGAGAAUGCCGGUAUGAGUAGCGAAAGAAGGGUGAGAAUCCCUUCCACCGAAUAUCUAAGGUUUCCUGAGGAAGGCUCGUCCGCUCAGGGUUAGUCGGGACCUAAGCUGAGGCCGAUAGGCGUAGGCGAUGGACAACAGGUAGAUAUUCCUGUACCAGUGCGAGUUGUUUGAGCAAUGGGGUGACACAGAAGGAUAGGGAAUCGCACAGAUGGAAACGUGCGUCCAAGCAGUGAGUGUGAGAAGUAGGCAAAUCCGCUUCUCGCGAAGCAUGAGCUGUGAUGGGGAAGGAAAUUCAGUACGGAAGUUCCUGAUUUCACGCUGUCAAGAAAAGCCUCUAGUUAGAUUAGUACUGCCCGUACCGCAAACCGACACAGGUAGAUGAGGAGAGAAUCCUAAGGUGAGCGAGAGAACUCUCGUUAAGGAACUCGGCAAAAUGACCCCGUAACUUCGGGAGAAGGGGUGCUCUAUUAGGG
Molecule: ribosomal RNA, 674 nt
Filed under: Listeria booriae
Lineage: Bacteria; Bacillati; Bacillota; Bacilli; Caryophanales; Listeriaceae
Description: partial 23S ribosomal RNA
Rfam family: Bacterial large subunit ribosomal RNA
Source: RNAcentral